UGGGGAAUUUUGGACAAUGGGGGAAACCCUGAUCCAGCCAUCCCGCGUGUGCGAUGAAGGCCUUCGGGUUGUAAAGCACUUUUGGCAGGAAAGAAACGUCAUGGGUUAAUACCCCGUGAAACUGACGGUACCUGCAGAAUAAGCACCGGCUAACUACGUGCCAGCAGCCGCGGUAAUACGUAGGGUGCAAGCGUUAAUCGGAAUUACUGGGCGUAAAGCGUGCGCAGGCGGUUCGGAAAGAAAGAUGUGAAAUCCCAGAGCUCAACUUUGGAACUGCAUUUUUAACUACCGGGCUAGAGUGUGUCAGAGAGAGGUGGAAUUCCGCGUGUAGCAGUGAAAUGCGUAGAUAUGCGGAGGAACACCGAUGGCGAAGGCAGCCUCCUGGGAUAACACUGACGCUCAUGCACGAAAGCGUGGGGAGCAAACAGG
RNAcentral lists this ribosomal RNA (429 nucleotides) under Acidobacteriota bacterium. RNAcentral describes it as "Acidobacteria bacterium partial 16S ribosomal RNA". It matches the Rfam family "Bacterial small subunit ribosomal RNA", at positions 355 to 776 of the family's 1533-position model. Lineage: Bacteria; Pseudomonadati; Acidobacteriota. The record is from RNAcentral.